AUCAGACAAAGGCAAACUUGCUGAAAGGCAAGGACGCAAAGUCACAGAUCUAAGGUUCACAAAAACUAUGAUGGCUGGACUGCCUGA
This 87-nucleotide non-coding RNA is filed under the name Bacillus sp. (in: firmicutes). RNAcentral describes it as "Bacillus sp. c-di-GMP sequence". It matches the Rfam family "c-di-GMP-I riboswitch aptamer". From Rfam's summary of the family: GEMM was predicted in a large-scale screen for bacterial structured RNA regulatory elements. Genes associated with GEMM are involved in a diverse array of functions, including chemotaxis regulation, signal transduction, secretion and chitin. Lineage: Bacteria; Bacillati; Bacillota; Bacilli; Caryophanales; Bacillaceae. The record is from RNAcentral.